UGCAUGGUCCCCAAAAGCAGGAGGGGUUCUGGGUAAAGAAGAGGAAGUUCCCAACACAAUGGGGGCAAUGAGAAAGGCUCCAGGAGGAGGUGAAGUCUGGGCAGAAUCUCAGAUACUCAAGAGACCCAUUCUACAGGCCAUAAGUCCCUUUCCCAGUCCCAUCUGCCUUGACCCAGCGGGCGUGGGGCCAAGCUUACAGCUUCUCCAUCAUGACCUGAAUCUUUCUGGUGAGAGAUAACCCAUGGGGCUGAAACUGGGAGCUUUCUGAGGCAUCCCUUUGACUUCAGCCUAAGGAGGUAACACAUUCCAUCUCAUUUUGCAAGAAUAACAGAAACUUAGAAGUGGAAUGGGCAGGAAUCCAACCAGUUCCUUUACAGAUGAAGAAAAAGGAGGCUCCAGAGAGGACCCUGGCUGUGACGAUCCCUCCUGCCCUGGUCUCCUGACUCCCAGCCUGUGGUUCGGCCCUGACUGCUGCCUUCGCUCAUGGGGUCUCUUCUGGGUACUGAGGGGGCAGGGUGAGGGGAAGGGCAGACAAGAGAGCUGGCACAGCAUGA
Odocoileus virginianus texanus is the source of this 554-nucleotide non-coding RNA. The record is from RefSeq and is a predicted model, not a curated record. Lineage: Eukaryota; Metazoa; Chordata; Mammalia; Artiodactyla; Cervidae.